Molecule: ribosomal RNA, 492 nt
Filed under: uncultured bacterium
Lineage: Bacteria
Description: partial 16S ribosomal RNA
Rfam family: Bacterial small subunit ribosomal RNA
Source: RNAcentral
AGUGAACGCUGGCGGUAGGCCUAACACAUGCAAGUCGAACGGCAGCACAGUAAGAGCUUGCUCUUACGGGUGGCGAGUGGCGGACGGGUGAGGAAUACAUCGGAAUCUACUUUUUCGUGGGGGAUAACGUAGGGAAACUUACGCUAAUACCGCAUACGACCUACGGGUGAAAGCAGGGGAUCUUCGGACCUUGCGCGAUUGGAUGAGCCGAUGUCGGAUUAGCUAGUUGGCGGGGUAAAGGCCCACCAAGGCGACGAUCCGUAGCUGGUCUGAGAGGAUGAUCAGCCACACUGGAACUGAGACACGGUCCAGACUCCUACGGGAGGCAGCAGUGGGGAAUAUUGGACAAUGGGCGCAAGCCUGGUCCAGCCAUACCGCGUGGGUGAAGAAGGCCUUCGGGUUGUAAAGCCCUUUUGUUGGGAAAGAAAAGCAGCAGGUUAAUACCCCGCUGUUCUGACGGUACCCAAAGAAUAAGCACCGGCUAACUUCGUG